RNAcentral lists this ribosomal RNA (534 nucleotides) under Bifidobacterium breve. RNAcentral describes it as "bacterial SSU rRNA". It matches the Rfam family "Bacterial small subunit ribosomal RNA", at positions 164 to 707 of the family's 1533-position model. Lineage: Bacteria; Bacillati; Actinomycetota; Actinomycetes; Bifidobacteriales; Bifidobacteriaceae. The record is from RNAcentral.
UAAUGCCGGAUGCUCCAUCACACCGCAUGGUGUGUUGGGAAAGCCUUUGCGGCAUGGGAUGGGGUCGCGUCCUAUCAGCUUGAUGGCGGGGUAACGGCCCACCAUGGCUUCGACGGGUAGCCGGCCUGAGAGGGCGACCGGCCACAUUGGGACUGAGAUACGGCCCAGACUCCUACGGGAGGCAGCAGUGGGGAAUAUUGCACAAUGGGCGCAAGCCUGAUGCAGCGACGCCGCGUGAGGGAUGGAGGCCUUCGGGUUGUAAACCUCUUUUGUUAGGGAGCAAGGCAUUUUGUGUUGAGUGUACCUUUCGAAUAAGCACCGGCUAACUACGUGCCAGCAGCCGCGGUAAUACGUAGGGUGCAAGCGUUAUCCGGAAUUAUUGGGCGUAAAGGGCUCGUAGGCGGUUCGUCGCGUCCGGUGUGAAAGUCCAUCGCUUAACGGUGGAUUCGCGCCGGGUACGGGCGGGCUUGAGUGCGGUAGGGGAGACUGGAAUUCCCGGUGUAACGGUGGAAUGUGUAGAUAUCGGAAAAGAAC